GAAUCUAAAAAUUAAAAUCUCCUGGCAAGGAAACUAUUUUCAGCGUGGCGAUUUGUCACCAUCUCUGCGACCAAGACACAGACUUUUCUGUCUUGAACUGCUGUUUUAUCUACAGAUUGGAAAUCAUUUUUUAGGAGCUGCCAAAAACUUGUUGUUUCUGAAGACAGUGAAAAAGUCAGUCAUCCUCCUUGGAGGCAAUAUGUUUAUGCAAAACUCUAUCAGUGUUUUAUUAUCCAUAAAAUUGCCUGGUCCUGCAUAAUUCAGCAAUACUUGACCAAAUGACUUCCAGCAGCCAAGGACGUGGAUUCUUUUCAGUGAUUUGCAUUUGAAAUGCCAAUGGCCAAAAGAUUUCUUAUCCUAAUCCAAUGGAGGAAAAACAACAGAACACAACUGGCAAGUGCUGGGCUUUGGAACAAAUGAUGAAUAAUUCCUGUUACUCUUAGGGCUACAAGACCUUAACGCAGCCCAAGAUAUGGCAUCAAACAACACUUAAAUUCAGUCCCAAGGAUGAAUGCAGCAGCUGUCUAACAGCAGAAAGGGAGAACUGAAAUAUUACAUCUGACAUUUUCAAAGUUGGUGGAGACAAGGAUGUUUAGUACAUCCUAGUUUAGGAAAUACAACUGUUUUGGGUUAGACCUUUUUAUCUUUUGUACAUCGCUCAUAUCUCCAGCAGCUGAUGCAUGUGAGGAGUGUCAGUAUGGCUUACCUCUUCCUGGAAUAACACCUUCCCAAGUGCCAAUAAACUUUAACUUAAGGACUUGCUAAAUUAAAGA
This 773-nucleotide long non-coding RNA is filed under the name Anser brachyrhynchus (Pink-footed goose). RNAcentral describes it as "lncRNA (ENSABRG00000020389.1)". The record is from RNAcentral. Lineage: Eukaryota; Metazoa; Chordata; Aves; Anseriformes; Anatidae.